Magnolia sinica is the source of this 1957-nucleotide RNA transcript. It is a transcript of the gene named LRR receptor-like serine/threonine-protein kinase SIK1, with no coding region annotated. NCBI's taxonomy places the organism in Eukaryota, Viridiplantae, Streptophyta, Magnoliopsida, Magnoliales, Magnoliaceae. The transcript has 6 exons. The record is from RefSeq and is a predicted model, not a curated record.
UCUCCAAAAGAAUUUUGCUGCUGCUUAUUUGGUUAAUUAGCACUCCCUUUGUCAUUUCUCCCUCUCGUCUCUUGCUUCCCCCAUCUUUGAUUUGGAACUUUCCAUCUCCCAUCUCCAAAUCUCAUUCUCUCUCUUAUUUCUCUUCCUUUCUUCUCAUUCUCAAGGUUCUUAGAUCAGAUCUACAGCUCUAGGGCUAGGUUUCGGGAGGAAGGAGGGAAAAGGGAAAAAAAUCUCUAACCCUAAUCAACGGAGCAGCUGCAUCCCUGUAACCCCAAAUCGAAGCCGCACUAUCUUUAUCUGUUCUCCCUCUACGCCAUCACCACUACCGACCUCGCCUGAAUCGUUGGGUGAAACCACAGCUGAAAGAUUUGGAUGCCGUGCGACAGAGGCUGACAAAAAGGAAGACUACCACCAAUGAUAGCGCCUGAGCUUCCUCUAAUGCCAUUCUCUUUGGUGAAGAGAGUUUUUCCCAAUAGCCGAGCAAUCUGAUGCGGUUUUCCCUUUUAGGAUUCCGUAUGGAGAGAGAUACUUUCGUCAUCAUGUUGGAUUCUGACGACAUACGCGAAUUAGGAGGCGGCUGCUUUCGGUCAUGGCUGCCGAUGGCACUAAUAGGGUUGUCUAUUGUCUUAAUGUCGGCUCUAGUGGGUGGCAGCACUACUCGGAUCAAGCUAUCAUGGUUGUAACUGAUAGGGAUCUUGCUCAGAAUCGGCUCACUGGUGACAUUCCGAGGCUGAUUUACUGGAAUGAAGUAUUGCAGUAUCUUGGGUUGUGGGGGAAUUUGCUGACGGGAAAUUUGUCUCCUGAUAUGUGUUAAUUGACUGGCCAAUGGUACUUUGAUGUGAGCGGCAAUAACAUCUCAGGAACCAUACUAGAUAACAUUGGGAAUUGUACAAGCUACGAAAUCCUAUAAGAUGGCUGACAUUCCUUUUGAUGUGGGUGUUGUUCUGGUUCUUUCUUCAAUUGUUUAUGGUGUAUUGACUGUUAUGACUUCCAAGGAUAUUUCUUACAAUCAAAUCACUGGAGAGAUUUCUUACAACAUUGGUUUCCUGAAAGUAGCUACAUUGUCUCUUCAGGGAAAUAGGCUUACUGGGAAGAUUCCAGAAGUGAUAGGACUCAUGCAUGCUCUUGCUAUUUUAUCAAACUGAAGAAACCUUACUAGCAAUAGGUGACAACAGCUCAAAUCAUGGUAUCAAAAGCUACCCCAACCUGUAAUUUUAUAGUGUUUGGGGGUACAAAUGGAAUAAAUCCACUCAAGGAUUUGAAUAUUUUUGACACCUGCAAGUCUUCUUCUUCUUUUUUUUUUUGUCCUUGGCACGACUGCUUGAUGAUAUUUUGUUUUCUUCCACUCAAUUCUUUUGUUUUCUGGUAUUGUACUGAUGCCAGAUUUGUUGACUGUGGACUCCUGGUAAUUCUUUUCAAAUGUUCAUUUUUCUUUUUUAAAUGCAUGUUCCGCCUGACGAGUGAACUGGCGUGAUUUUUGAGCCUAUCUAUUUAUUAGUGUGGACCGCUUGAUGCAUGCUCUAAUGCUCUCUGCAGGUUGGUGAAUGCGGUCUCAUGAGUAGGUCUGCCCUAUUAAUGAAAUUCAGUAAAAAUAUAAAUUUUUUAUUUUUUCUCCUUGAAUCAAUUUGCUUUUGGAGAUAAAAUGAAAUUGAUAUAAAAUGCAUCAAAAAGGAAGCAUUGUCCAAUUUGAAUUUCUGAUGCAUAGGAGUAGAAACAUAUGAAGCUAUUGCUGAUUCUCUUUUUAUUGGUUUUGGUGAUCGGGCUGAAACUGCAUAUGGUGACAGUGGGAUGAAGGUAGGUUCUUGAGUUGCAUGCUAUGAUGCUUAUGAUGCAGUUUUAUCCUUAAAGAAAAGGGAAGAAAAAUCUGUCCACACAUUUAUUAAAAAAAUUCCAUAGCUAUUUUGCUCCCUCUGCUAGUUACAGAUAUUUAUUGGUUCCUUUUAUUUUAUUUCAAAUU